GACGAACGCUGGCGGCGUGCUUAACACAUGCAAGUCGAACGAUGAAGCGCCAGCUUGCUGGUGGGGAUUAGUGGCGAACGGGUGAGUAACACGUGGGCAAUCUGCCCUUCACUCUGGGACAAGCCCUGGAAACGGGGUCUAAUACCGGAUAACACUCCUGUCCUCCUGGACGGGGGUUAAAAGCUCCGGCGGUGAAGGAUGAGCCCGCGGCCUAUCAGCUUGUUGGUGAGGUAAUGGCUCACCAAGGCGACGACGGGUAGCCGGCCUGAGAGGGCGACCGGCCACACUGGGACUGAGACACGGCCCAGACUCCUACGGGAGGCAGCAGUGGGGAAUAUUGCACAAUGGGCGAAAGCCUGAUGCAGCGACGCCGCGUGAGGGAUGACGGCCUUCGGGUUGUAAACCUCUUUCAGCAGGGAAGAAGCGAAAGUGACGGUACCUGCAGAAGAAGCGCCGGCUAACUACGUGCCAGCAGCCGCAGUAACAC
RNAcentral lists this ribosomal RNA (487 nucleotides) under uncultured bacterium. RNAcentral describes it as "bacterial SSU rRNA". It matches the Rfam family "Bacterial small subunit ribosomal RNA", at positions 28 to 526 of the family's 1533-position model. The record is from RNAcentral.